AGAGUUUGAUCCUGGCUCAGGAUGAACGCUGGCGGCGUGCCUAAUACAUGCAAGUCGAACGGAGCAGCAAUGCUUAGUGGCGACCGGGUGCGUAACACGUAGCUGACCUGCCCCUCAGCGGGGGACAACUGUUGGAAACGACAGCUAAUACCGCAUGAUUUUGAGCUUUCCAAAAGGGCUCAAAUAAACUUUCGGGGCUG
Molecule: ribosomal RNA, 200 nt
Filed under: uncultured bacterium
Lineage: Bacteria
Description: partial 16S ribosomal RNA
Rfam family: Bacterial small subunit ribosomal RNA
Source: RNAcentral